Molecule: unclassified non-coding RNA, 620 nt
Filed under: Hevea brasiliensis (rubber tree)
Lineage: Eukaryota; Viridiplantae; Streptophyta; Magnoliopsida; Malpighiales; Euphorbiaceae
Source: RNAcentral
UUUGUGGUGGAUGAUUGCUAUAAAAAAAUUCCGAAGAUCAAGUUUGAUUGGGGACAUGGAAAAUGGUAUCAAGUCGAAAGCAUCUCCCCAUAUGAAGAAAAUGGAAUCCAGUUACCGAGUAACAUUUCGUUUGGCAUGCUUAUCAGUAAAAAAUUUUCGUUUGACAUAAAGCUCCAGAAUCAGUUGAGCUGCGAGUCCAUCAGCAAUCUGAGUCUUCCCAAUCUCACAUACGCAUCUUUUCAAAUUGACUCCAGUCUAACAACCAUAUACAAAUGCAACCACCCUGUAGAUUUUCCAGAACUUUCUUUUAAUUUUAUUAGUUAUAGAAAGUGCCCCGACUUCAAAAUCUAUUAUCCUAAGAAGGAUAAUGCAAGUGUACUAAGGUCUCUGCGUAACUGCUCAAUUGUGAAGCUCCCACUAAACACAAACAAUGAUCAUGACGACAUAUUCCGAAUGUCAGCUGCUAACUUCUCUCUGAAUGUCAGCAUAUGGCCUGAUUGUCAUCUCUGUCAUUUACGUGGUGGAGAAUGUAAAGAAUGUAUUGGUGAAGAGGGAAAAAAACCACCUCCUGGUCCUCAACCACCUGUGCCUCCUCCAAAAAGGACAGAAAGACACAAAGG